Molecule: transfer RNA, 79 nt
Filed under: Thermoprotei archaeon
Lineage: Archaea; Thermoproteati; Thermoproteota; Thermoprotei
Also listed under: 1 other name
Description: tRNA-Ile
Rfam family: tRNA
About the family: Transfer RNA (tRNA) molecules are approximately 80 nucleotides in length.
Source: RNAcentral
GGGCCCGUAGCUCAGCCAGGUAGAGCGCCCGGCUGAUAACCGGGAGGUUUCGGGGGUUCAAAUCCCCCCGGGCCCACCA